Molecule: ribosomal RNA, 478 nt
Filed under: uncultured bacterium
Lineage: Bacteria
Description: partial 16S ribosomal RNA
Rfam family: Bacterial small subunit ribosomal RNA
Source: RNAcentral
GACGAACGCUGGCGGCGUGCUUAACACAUGCAAGUCGAACGGUAAGGCCCUUCGGGGUACACGAGUGGCGAACGGGUGAGUAACACGUGGGUGAUCUGCCCUGCACUUCGGGAUAAGCCUGGGAAACUGGGUCUAAUACCGGAUAGGACCACUGCCUGCAUGGGUGGUGGUGGAAAGCUUUUGCGGUGUGGGAUGGGCCCGCGGCCUAUCAGCUUGUUGGUGGGGUGAUGGCCUACCAAGGCGACGACGGGUAGCCGGCCUGAGGGGGGGACCGGCCACACUGGGACUGAGAUACGGCCCAGACUCCUACGGGAGGCAGCAGUGGGGAAUAUUGCACAAUGGGCGCAAGCCUGAUGCAGCGACGCCGCGUGAGGGAUGACGGCCUUCGGGUUGUAAACCUCUUUCAGCUCCGACGAAGCGCAAGUGACGGUAGGUGCAGAAGAAGGACCGGCCAACUACGUGCCAGCAGCCGCCGUAA